RNAcentral lists this ribosomal RNA (331 nucleotides) under uncultured eukaryote. Its description in RNAcentral is "partial 18S ribosomal RNA". It matches the Rfam family "Eukaryotic small subunit ribosomal RNA", at positions 1470 to 1796 of the family's 1831-position model. The record is from RNAcentral.
CCCUUAGAUGUUCUGGGCCGCACGCGCGCUACACUGACGAAGUCAGCGAGCAUGUCCUACGCCGACAGGUGCGGGGAAUCUUGUCAAACUUCGUCGUGAUGGGGAUUGAUUAUUGAAAUUCUUGAUCAUAAACGAGGAAUUCCUAGUAAGCGCAAGUCAGCAGCUUGCGUUGAUUACGUCCCUGCCCUUUGUACACACCGCCCGUCGCUACUACCGAUUGAAUGGUUUAGUGAGAUCUUCGGAUUGGCGCCACUGCGGCUCAGCAAUGGGCUCGGUGGAUGCCGAAAAGUUGAUCAAACUUGAUCAUUUAGAGGAAGUAAAAGUCGUAACA